AGAUUGAACGCUGGCGGAAUGCUUUACACAUGCAAGUCGAACGGCAGCACGGGGGCAACCCUGGUGGCGAGUGGCGAACGGGUGGGUAAUACAUCGGAACGUGCCCAGUCGUGGGGGAUAACUACGCGAAAGCGUAGCUAAUACCGCAUACGAACUCUGGUUGAAAGCGGGGGACUCGCAAGAGCCUCGCGCGAUUGGAGCGGCCGAUGGCAGAUUAGGUAGUU
RNAcentral lists this ribosomal RNA (224 nucleotides) under uncultured soil bacterium. Its description in RNAcentral is "partial 16S ribosomal RNA". It matches the Rfam family "Bacterial small subunit ribosomal RNA", at positions 26 to 250 of the family's 1533-position model. The record is from RNAcentral.